AGGAUUUGGUUGAGGAUUGAGGAUUUGUUUAGGAUUUGGUUUAGGAUUUAAGAUUUGUCUAAAGAUUGAUUUAGGAUUUGAUUAAGGAUUUAUGAUUUUUCUAGGAUUUGAUUUAGGAUUUGAUUUAGAGUUAAGGAUUUGUCUAGAUUUGAAUAAGGAUUUAGAGUUUCUGUAAAGUUUGGUUUAAGGUUUAGGAUUUGUCAAAAAAUUGAUUGAUGUUCAUUAAGGUUUUAAUUAGGAUUAAAUAAGAACUUAGUUGAGAUUUAUUAAAAAUAAAUUUGUGAUUAUUCUAAUAUUUUUUAGUAU
Molecule: long non-coding RNA, 306 nt
Filed under: Physcomitrium patens
Lineage: Eukaryota; Viridiplantae; Streptophyta; Bryopsida; Funariales; Funariaceae
Description: long non-coding RNA (PPAT_LNC008401)
Source: RNAcentral